GUAUGUACACGGCUGUGUAAUACACUAUGAUGAUGGUUUUUUUAACUAUGACGGCGGUUUCACCUUCGUUUAUCGUUGUUAUAGUCCAAAAAAUCUGUUGUCAUAGUCCUUAUAGCCCUAUAUAUAUAUAUAUAUCUUUAAUAUUAUAUUAAUACUAUACUGCAUGGUGAGACUAUGUUGAAUAUGAUGUGUAUUUCUUCACUUUAAAACUAGUUUUCUGUGCUAAAAGCUAAUCCCUUAUAACCAAUACUUUAUUGUUGAUCCGUAUAUUCAUCUGUUCUAAGUUCUCGGUUUCUUUUAUGAGCAAUCAUUGUCUGAUAUGGCGUAUUGGGUUAAAAUUUGUUUAUCGUAUAGUCUUGGUUAAUAACAUAAAUAUUGAACUACCAUAUCUUGUGUAUUUAUCUGAUGAUAUUGCACUCUGUUGUCAAUCGUUGAUUGAGAUACUGGGACUAUACUGUUGAAAUGUUUUUACUAUGUUUUUCAAAACUGUUUUUGAAUACACUAAGAGUUGGUCAAAUUUUUUAUUAAUGUUUUUGACUUAUUAAAGAGUUCAGACACUAUUUACUGAAUAUUACUGUAUUGUUUAAAUAUUUCUUGGAAAAUGAAUAAACAGUGAGAAAUAUGGUCUCUUCUCUUGCAAGUUAUUAUAUGCAUUUACUGAUGAAAUCUUUAUUCUUGUACCGUGUGUAUUUUGCUUCGUCAGUCACUCUAUAUCUUGAUCUUAUUUAUUGGGCUGACAUCUAUGAUUACCUACCUUUUCUAUAUAUUAACAUUGCUAAAACAUGAUGCAUUCAUUUUUAGUCUCACUCUUAUCUUAUCUGUUACAUAUUCCUAUCUACUCUUUAUGUGUUCACCAUGGACCCUGUCUAUUCUUCAAAAAGGAAACAACUUGCACUUCAUUCUGAGAUAAAUCCCUCAGGAUGUGUACCUCAUCUAGUCACACCAUGUGCACAAGCUAAGUAUCGUCUAAUGAGGCAUAACCUCACACUAGGCAUAGGAAUUGCAUUUUGUAGUUUCCUCGACUUGAACGUUUCAAAGCCAUAUGUUGGGAAUGUCUUGUUGUAUACGGAUAGACACAUAUCUUAGUCUAAUUGCUGAAUUUUACACUCUUAGAUAUCCCACUAGUCUCUUAACAAGUAUGAGUUCAUGCAGUCAAGGUAAAAACUUUGUCAUUGAUGAAAAUCUUCUGGUUCAUGCAUUACAUAUCUUCAUCCAACCAUGUUAGAACUUCUUAGAAUAAAUUAAGUGUUUUUACUGCUUUUUCUCAAAAAAACUUUCAUUACGUAUUUCAUCCCGCCUUCUCAAAUAAAUGUUAUGAUGUAAUUUGAAAUUCUCAAAAAAGUACAUUUAUUAGCAUUUUUCUGCGUUUUAUGAAUAAUGACUUUUUCGUCUUUUUCUCAAAUUUUUUUUAUUUCCUUAUACCAUCCUAAAACUCCUUAAUUCUAUCACCAAAACAUGUUCCAUCAUAAAAAUUCAACUCUUAACACAUAAAACAGAAUAAUAUUCAUAAAAUCUUAUUUUAUUUAAUAAUAUUCUAAAAUACUUAAUUUACAAACUAAGUAGAAUUUAUGGGUCGUCACAUGAUCUUUGAUUCUAUUUGCUUAUCUUAGAAGUACAUUUUUAUUAAAUUUUUUGUAAAAAGGGAAAAAUGUAGUUAGUUUAUUUUAUGUAUAUGUGAGAAAGAUGAAUAAUUUUUUGAGCAAAACCAGAGUCUUAGAUAUGUCAGCUGAGAGUUGGAUCUCUAGUGUACUUGUUAAGUGAGGAAGAGACUGUUGUUUUAAGAUCAGAACAUAAAAUUGAACUGAAGUCAAAAGAAAGUACAACUAAGCUUGAAAAGGGAGUUGGAAGUUUACUGUGUAAGAUAGUUAGUUGAAUUGUUGUAAGUUUAUUUAUAAAACUUUAUAAAGACUUUUUUUGCUUGUUGAAGGAGUUUUUAUUACAUAAAGUAAUAGGAUUUCAAGUCUUGGAGAGGAGCUUAAUUAAGACUGAACGUAGCAACAUAUUUGGGAUAUAUGUUGUGAACCAGACAAAUCUGUGUAUUGUGAUUGAUUUUUUUAUUAUCUUACAUAUUAAUUAUAUUUUGCAAAUUAAUUAAUUCAAAAAUAAAUUCAAAAUGGCUUAAGAUAAAUUUUAAACCGUAAUAAUUUAUUCAACCCUCUUUUUAGAUUAUUAUUGGAUUUUCAUAAAUCAUUGACCCAAUAGUAUCAUAAAUUUUCUCACUUAAAUUUUUGACGUUUCUGUCAGAACCGAUCAUACUGGCUGACUUUGUGUCACCACUUUCGGACCUCUUUCUCUCCAUUGUGGGAUAAUAUCACCAGUCCUCGUGUUUUCACCUUUAGCAACUCAAUCCCGAGCUUUCGAGAGUCGACUCUGAUGCCAUAUGAAACAAAGCCGGGUCAAAUCCCGAGUUCGAAAUAAAUUUCGAGUUUGAAUCGAAUAAAAUCCAUCCAAAUAAGGCAUUAAAUCACUGGUCAAAUAUUUUUGGGUCAUCUUAGUCAGUGGCGGAAUCAGAAGACUUUUAUAGGGGGGUCAAAAUACAUUAAUAAAAAAAAAUUAUUUAUUAACGCUUAGAGUGCUUCUUUUAAAUUCAUUUUGAACAAUUAUAAUUGUCUAGCCUAAUUAUAUAAUAUUGCACACCUCAAGACUAGGCAAAUAAAAACGCCAUAAAAUUAC
RNAcentral lists this long non-coding RNA (2673 nucleotides) under Panax ginseng (ginseng). RNAcentral describes it as "long non-coding RNA (PGIN_LNC000921)". Lineage: Eukaryota; Viridiplantae; Streptophyta; Magnoliopsida; Apiales; Araliaceae. The record is from RNAcentral.